GACCCUCGCUUCCGCCAUGGGAACCACCCACAACACACUACCAGAUUAUGGGACUUACGCCCCUUCGUGCUCUGCAUAUAUGCCCAUGAAGGGUUCACCGAGCACCACAACCUUCCGUGCAGAACGUGCCACAGUAGAAGGCACGACAAUUCCGAGGGAUCCCCGCAACAAACCAACUCUGCACUGUGAGGCCAGGCCGGCACCUCAACAGAACACUUUCCCGAGGGACAAGGCGACAGGAGAAACAUUGCUGAUUGAUUCGACCACGACCGCCCCAUGGCUCCAACCGUGUUGAACAGCCCAGGGUGCACUUCCGGAUGCUUGGGAACUUGACCCAUGCAUGGUGCUGCGGAUACGCCCAAGAAGGGUUCACCGAGCACCACAACCUUCCGUGAACAACGGGCCUCGGUAGAAGCAACGACAAUUCCGAGGGAUCCCCGCAACAAACCAACCCUGCACUGUGAGGCCAGGCCGGCACCUCGACAGAACACUUUUCCGAGGGACAAGGCGACAGGAGAAACAUUGCUGAUUGAUUCGACCACGUCCGCCCCAUGGCUCCAACCGUGUUGAACAGCCCAGGGUGCACUUCCGGAUGAUUGGGAACUUGACCCAUGGUGCUGCGGCUACGCCCAUGAAGGGUUCACCGAGCACCACAACCUUCCGUGCAGAACGGGCCACAGUAGAAGCCACGACAAUUCCGAGGGAUCCCCGCAACAAACCAACUCUGCACUGUGAGGCCAGGCCGGCACCUCAACAGAACACUUUCCCGAGGGACAAGGCGACAGGAGAAACAUUGUUGAUUGAUUCGACCACGACCGCCCCAUGGCUCCAACCGUGUUGAACCGCCCAGGGUGCACUUCCGGAUGCUUGGGAACUUGACCCUUCGUGCCUGAAGAUAUUACCAAAACCAUCCGUGCAGAUCAGGCCACACAUGAACACACGACAAUUCCGAGGUAUCCGCAACAACCCAUCUCGGCACUGUGAGGCCAGGCAGGCACCUCAACAGCGCACACUUUUCCGAGGGACAGGCAACAGGGGACACGUUGCUGAUGGCCUCAACCACAAACGCGCCAUGGCCUCAACCAUGUUCAACCGCCAAAAGUGCACUUCCGGAUGCUUGGAAACUUGCCCCUUCGUGCUACGGCCAUGCCCAUUAGAGCAACACCUAGCGCCACAUCCUUCCGUGCAGAACGGGUCACACGAGAAGCCUCGGCACGUCCGAGGGAUGCCCACAACUACCCAUCUCGGCACUGUGAGGCCAGGCCGGCACCUCAACAGAGCACACAUUUCCGAGGGACGAGGCGACUGCAGAGACGAUGCUGAUGGCCUCAACCACUACCGCGCCAUGGCCUCAACCAUGUUCAACCGCCAAAAGUGCACUUCCGGAUGCUUGGACACUUGCCCCUUCGUGCUACGGCUAUGCCCAUUAAGGCAACACCUAGCGCCACAUCCUUCCGUGCAGAACGGUCCACACGAGAAGCCUCGGCACGUCCGAGGGAUGCCCACAACUACCCAUCUCGACACUGUGAGGCCGGGCCGGCACCUCAACAGAGCACACAUUUCCGAGGGACGAGGCGACUGGAGAGACGUUGCUGAUUGCUUCAACCUUGGCCUUGCCUCGGCUUCGACCGUGCUGAACCGCCCAGAGUGCACUUCCGGAUGUUUGGGAACUUGCCCCUCAGUGCUACGGAUAUGCCACUGAAGGGAACGCGUAGACCCACAUCCUUCCGUGCCGAACGGGUCACACUAGAAGCAUCGGCGCGUCCAAGGGAUGCGCACAACCACCCAUCUCCGCACUGUGAGGCCAGGCCGGCACCUCAACAGAGAACACUUUUCCGAGGGACGAGGCGACUGGAGAGACGUUGCUGAUUGCUUCAACCAUGGCCUUGCCUUGGCUUCGACCGCGUUGAACCGCCCAGAGUGCACUUCCGGAUGUUUGGGAACUUGCCCCUCAGUGCUACGGAUAUGCCACUGAAGGGAACGCGUAGACCCACAUCCUUCCGUGCCGAACGGGUCACACUAGAAGCCUCGGCGCGUCCGAGGGAUGCGCACAACUACCCAUCUCGGCACUGUGAGGCCAGGCCGGCACCUCAACAGAGCACACUUUUCCGAGGGACGAGGCGACUGGAGAGACGUUGCUGAUCGCGUCAAACACGGCCGCGCCUUGGCUUCGACCAUGAUGAACCGCCCAUAGUGCACUUCCGGAUGAUUGGGAACUUGCCCCCUUCGUGCUAAGGAUAUGCCCGUGAAGGCUUCACCUAGCGCCACAACCUUCCGUGCGGAACGGGUCACACUGGAUGCCUCGGCACGUCCGAGGGAUGACCGCAACUACCCACUGUGAUGCCAGACCGGCACCUCGACCAAAGGGACGAAGGCAUCAAGAUUUUUGACUUGGACCUUGAGGAACAAGCAAAGAACUUGCUGCACGCCAAAUGUGUCAUGGUGCCGGAUAAGCUCACUACGAGAUGCCCACAUUUUUCCGUUGGACCAGCCAGAACCGGGACACGUACGACCUGGAUUCGGCGUGGACUAUUUUUGACUCGGUCGAAUUUCCCACAUGGCCAUGGAAAAACGCACCAGCAUGCUUGGGAAAGCUUGCUGGGGCGCUGGGAGGGAGCCCCAUGGCACGCCAUCCUGACCCACCAAGGUGCGUGGGCAGGCAGGCAGCUCCCCCCUAUAGUAGGCUAAUAUGCAAAAACCCACUCUCCAGCACCGGACAUCCUUUUUUCUGGGGAGACAUACUCGGUUUUUCUGAGGCUACGGGUCGAAUUUUGACCUGAUUUUUUGCACAAGUGCUUAUAGAAAUGGGACAUAGUGCUCCACAAAGUUUCACGAUUUUUCUCCUAGCCGAUAUUAUUUCAUGAUUUUUCCAGCCGGCGAGCAUUUUAUAAUUCCAGAAAAUUGGAAAAUCAGUGUGGGACAUGUUUCUGGAGCUCUUCUCUUUGCAGGCAACCAUGGCUAAACAAUUCGAAGUUGGCCUCCAAAUUUGGUGCCAUUUUCAUGAAGGGGUCGGCGCCUUACCAUGCUUUCACCGAAAUAGGGAAUGCAAGUGAAGCAAAAAAAACUCACACGAGGCACGGGACAUGCCCAUGGGCCACUUUCGCCUUCACCUAGGACCGCUCGGGACACAUGUGCCAUGGCUUGGGUCAAUUUCACCUAGGACCACUCGGGACACAUUUCGCAUGGCAUCAAUUACCCCUAAUGGCACUCGUGCAGGUCCAAUCAUGGCCUCUCUUUCAGCUAGCAUUAGGAAAGUGUGUCACGGCCUCAAUUUCACCUAGCACUCGGACACAUGUGUCAUGUCCUCAAUGUCACCGAGCACGUGUAAUGUCCUCACUUCCUCCGAGCACGUUUGUCAUUCCCGCACUUCACCUAGCACUCGGGAUCACGCACGAGGAACCACACCCCAUG
Lupinus albus (white lupine) is the source of this 3411-nucleotide non-coding RNA. NCBI's taxonomy places the organism in Eukaryota, Viridiplantae, Streptophyta, Magnoliopsida, Fabales, Fabaceae. The record is from the annotation of a GenBank genome assembly.